Long non-coding RNA from Bolinopsis microptera, 844 nucleotides. RefSeq lists it as uncharacterized. The transcript has 5 exons. NCBI's taxonomy places the organism in Eukaryota, Metazoa, Ctenophora, Tentaculata, Lobata, Bolinopsidae. The record is from RefSeq and is a predicted model, not a curated record.
CGAUAUGGCGUCACUUCGACCAGGAAACCAGAUUACCGCUAGGGGAGUAUACCAGGAUGGUACUUCAAAAUUUAGUGUGAAUAUUGUCGCGGUACCGGAUCGGAACACCAUCCUGCUUCAUGUGGACUUUAGAUUUAACGUACUUGUGCUGAACAGCAAAUUUGGACGUUGGGGAUCGGAAAAGAGGGUGAAUUACAGCAACAAAAGAUUUGAAGCAGGCGAAGAGUUCACAGUUACGAUUAAAGUCUCAGCUGAUGAAUAUCAAGUCUACCUCAACGAUGCAGAAAUUGGAAGAUACCCUGUGCGAGAAUUAAACCUAGCUAACGCUGUUCAGCUAAAGGGCGGCAGCAAAGGCUUCGAGUGGACCUUACUUGGCAUACCUUCGAACUAAGUUAAGUCGAGAAGCGUGUUUGAAGACGGUAGACGGCGUUGUAAGAUAAAGUUAAACAACAGCUGUUUCCUGCAGACGCUCACCGCGUUCUUCUUAUCAGCCGGGGCUUCAUACUCAACAAUUUAUUUGUUGUUUAUUAUGGUCAGUUAUGGUUAAAAUCAGGUCAAAACCUGCAUUUCAUAGAAGAGGACUGAAACAUUUUUUGGGGGCUCUCAAAUGUCUUUAAAACCGAAAAAACGUUGGAGCCCUAAAAUUCAGACUGGGAAAAUCGCCCAUUUGGCCACGCCCAUUUUUGGUACCAAAAUGUCCAGGCACAAUUUGAGAGAAAUAUAUAAUGUCAUUCCUUACAUAUUAGGGGUCUAUAUUUAUGUUUUUUGCACGACGAAUCGAUUAACAAGGUGCUUUAAAGCUCUAAAACACUUAUUUUUUUGCAAUUUUCAAGAUGCAGUUUAU